This 578-nucleotide ribosomal RNA is filed under the name Escherichia coli. RNAcentral's name for it is "partial 23S ribosomal RNA". It matches the Rfam family "Bacterial large subunit ribosomal RNA", at positions 291 to 875 of the family's 2925-position model. Lineage: Bacteria; Pseudomonadati; Pseudomonadota; Gammaproteobacteria; Enterobacterales; Enterobacteriaceae. The record is from RNAcentral.
AACGGGGAGGAGCCCAGAGCCUGAAUCAGUGUGUGUGUUAGUGGAAGCGUCUGGAAAGGCGCGCGAUACAGGGUGACAGCCCCGUACACAAAAAUGCACAUGCUGUGAGCUCGAUGAGUAGGGCGGGACACGUGGUAUCCUGUCUGAAUAUGGGGGGACCAUCCUCCAAGGCUAAAUACUCCUGACUGACCGAUAGUGAACCAGUACCGUGAGGGAAAGGCGAAAAGAACCCCGGCGAGGGGAGUGAAAAAGAACCUGAAACCGUGUACGUACAAGCAGUGGGAGCACGCUUAGGCGUGUGACUGCGUACCUUUUGUAUAAUGGGUCAGCGACUUAUAUUCUGUAGCAAGGUUAACCGAAUAGGGGAGCCGAAGGGAAACCGAGUCUUAACUGGGCGUUAAGUUGCAGGGUAUAGACCCGAAACCCGGUGAUCUAGCCAUGGGCAGGUUGAAGGUUGGGUAACACUAACUGGAGGACCGAACCGACUAAUGUUGAAAAAUUAGCGGAUGACUUGUGGCUGGGGGUGAAAGGCCAAUCAAACCGGGAGAUAGCUGGUUCUCCCCGAAAGCUAUUUAGGU